RNAcentral lists this ribosomal RNA (253 nucleotides) under uncultured bacterium. Its description in RNAcentral is "partial 16S ribosomal RNA". It matches the Rfam family "Bacterial small subunit ribosomal RNA", at positions 524 to 776 of the family's 1533-position model. The record is from RNAcentral.
GACGUAGGGCGCGAGCGUUGUCCGGAUUUAUUGGGCGUAAAGAGCUCGUAGGCGGCUUGUCGCGUCGACCGUGAAAACUUGGGGCUCAACCCCAAGCCUGCGGUCGAUACGGGCAGGCUAGAGUUCGGUAGGGGAGACUGGAAUUCCUGGUGUAGCGGUGAAAUGCGCAGAUAUCAGGAGGAACACCGGUGGCGAAGGCGGGCCUCUGGGCCGAUACUGACGCUGAGGAGCGAAAGCGUGGGGAGCGAACAGG